CCUUCUUCUUCUUUUAGUUUUCUAGAGAGAGAGAGGAGAGAAAAUGAGAGAGGAGUGUGUGUGUGUGUGGCUGCUGAGGGAGAGGGGUAUUUGGGGUGUUAUAGUGUUGUAACAAUUGCAACUAAACCCUCCACAAAGUCUUAUUUGCAUCAGACUUCGAAAUGCUGUCUGGGGCCCCUUGUACCGGUACACGGGUUCUUGUACCGGUACAAGGCCAAUUAGCAGGCCAAACCCGAGAGCUCGGUUCUCGGUUUCGUCGGGCUUGUACCGGUACAAGGUCCCUUGUACCGGUACAGCGCCUGAAGCCCAGCCAAACCCGAGAGCUCGGGUUCUCGGUUUCGUCGGGCUUGUACCGGUACAAGGGGACCUUGUACCGGUACAGCGCCUGGACUGCACAAACCCGAGGGCUACUGAGCUCUGGUCGCUGCUUGUACCGGUACAACCAUCACCCUUGUACCGGUACAAGACGCCCAGAAUGCAGUUUUGACUUCGAUUCAGCUCUUCUUCGCGCCGGUUGACGCCAAAACCAUUUUAACACUUCUCUAACUUAUUUUUCGCCCUCUCAAACUUGUCGGGCAACAAGAGAAACUUGUCCAUCGCUUUCCUUCGACGCUUUAACCAAUUUGGCCAAAGCUCGAAUAUCGUUUUCGGGUUUUGAUACGUUACACACACACACACACACACACACACACACACACACACACACACACAUAUAUAGUACUCUAAUGCACAGGCGUGUUCACUGCCUAGGGCGCUAUUCCCUUGUCACGAUCCACAGCCGCUCUUCUAGGACUGAGAUCUGCAAAAUAAUGGGGUGAGAACUAAAAAAAGUUUCCAGUGGGUUCGCCCGCCGACCCCGCCGAUUUUUCCAUUAGGUUUAAAUUGGUAUAAGUAGAAAAGGAAAGCAAAACUAAUAAAUAGUAACAUUCUACUAUGCCUCAACAAUAUAAUAUGAUGAAUAAAGUAACCAUUAUGCUCAUGAUGCAUGUCAUUCAAAUCCUUAUAACUCAAUCGUACCGACUAACCCAAAGGUUGAGCCCAACUCACAACCAAUCUCAUAGAUGAGAAGACGUCCACUACACUCAUCGGGAAUCGUUUACUGGGUAACUACGUUAACUCAGUGUGUGACCACUCUGGAGCUCACUGCUUGGGUGGAGCGACCACUAACAAGCCGACAGACAAUAUGUGAGUAUGAUCCAAUCUUCCAACUAGAGAAUACCCUACCAACUAGGGCAACAAUACUCGGGGAUCUAUCCAUCCCUAACAUUUAAGGUCAUGAGUGCUAUCAACAUCUCUAGUCCAAAUGCCAUCGUUCCAUGUCACUAUAUUGUUUAAGUUCACAUUCGGUUCAUGGCACUAUAGAGUUUUCAAUAUUCAAGACCCAAUACUCAUGCAUCUAACAUCUAUGUUCCAUUUCAUAUUUUCUACCUUUACCACAAGAGAAUAUAAGGAAUUGAGUACACAAUACAUACUACUCUACAAUGCAUGAAUUCUACACAUGUACAUAUAUGGCCAACAAUAGUAACAUAGACAUAGAAAGAAAUCCAACUGUUUCGAAUAGCAACACCCACCUUAUAUCGAUGCUAAUAGGCGAGAAACCAAGCCCCGCGAUUUAUCGACACCAUUUUGGCUCGACCCAAGAGUAACGAAGGCAAAUUGGUGUUUUUCUCCAACGGAACGUCGUAGGCUCAUAGGAAUUUCGAUUUAAGUUGCCCAACAUGUCGAUUUAUUUUUCAAUUAAGGAAUAAAGGGGUCAAUUUCAUUAUAAACCUCAUAACCUCAAAAACCCUAAUUGUACCCUAGCUUUUUCCGCUGCGGAAAGCUCUGAAACAAAAACAAACAAUCAAUGGGGGUGAGAACUAUUAAACAAUAGUUCUCAAUGGGUAAGCCGCCGAGAGUGGCGAAAUACACAACUAGGUCAAUUGAGGCAUGAUAAUUUACAUUAUGUAAGCAAACAUAAGGAUAACAAGUAAAUUAAACAAAUUCAUUUCUAAGUCAUGCCUCUACUUGAUAAAGUUAACCAACAGCUAUAUGAUGUUCUAAUGUCACAUGUUCAGAUAUAUGCUUAUGUAGGUUUACAUGAAUGUUCAUCUUUACCAUAACACCGCGAAGAGAAAAUUUGUAGUGUACCGGAUUUUUAAUAUAAAAGUAAAUGUAAAUAAAAAUAGUGUGAAAUGCUAUUUUUAUUAGACUUAAAGAAGUAAAAUAUAAGUCGGAAAUGACUUGUGCUGAAGUUGGAACGGAAACAGAAAAUUUAGAAUUUUCUGUAAGAAACGGGGCUGAUAUUUUAGCAGAAAAUUCACAGUGUCGAAAAAUUAUGAAAAUUUGAGAAUAUGUCGGAAUUAUUUUUAUGAGGCUAGAUCUAAAGUUUCAUGUCAUUCUGACACCCAAAAAGUGAAAAAUAAAAUAUGACUGUUAUUUGUUAGAGAUUUUAGUCGGUAAAGCUUUUGGCGACAAAAAAUGGUUGGAAACUGAGAAGUUAAGAUUUCGUUCUUCUUGUUAAUUUAAACCGAGCCUGACUGUCAAAUUUGAGCGUAAACGAACAUUCAGAAGGGCUCCAGCAAAAAAUAUCAGUGUCACGCCCCGCUCCCCGCCAAUUUGGUCGGGUUCGGGCCACGUCAACAGACCCCGAACAGACAGGGCCUUCCCUGCCCGCCCAAGGCUCCAACCACAAGUAUAAUUAAGUAAUCAAACAAAGAGAUUUGCAAUUAUAUAAGGCUUGCACGAGGGCAAGGAACAACGGAAGCGAGCUCUAAGCUAAAACAUACAACCAUACAUAAUAUUUGAUUACAUUUAAACUAAAUACAAGUAAACUACAACUAUUACAUUCUUUUCCCUUUCAUUCAUAAAUUAUUUUACAUCUUAAUCAUUUUACCAAAAAUACAUGAUUUGUUUUCAACUUAUACAACUAUAGAUCAACAAACUAAAAGUUGAUACAUGUACACAAAAGGAAUGACUAAUAUGCAAGUACUCUGGUGGCCACUAGCUAUAGCGCGAUACCCUUGCCUCGAUCCUCUGCCGCCCCGCUCGCGCUCGGAUCUGUAGGGUUAGUGGUGUGAAACUACAACAAAGUUCCCAGUGGGUUCGGCAACCGACUUCGCCGACUUACCCACUAGGUCUAUUCAGGUAUAAGUAUUUCUAAGGAAAGGAAAACUGUAACCAAUGCUAAUGCUAAUACUAUACCUGCAAGAAAGUUGUCAGAAGAUAUAUAAUCGAAUAAGGAAUGAUUAUGCAUGCAUGCUUUUUCAUGAUUUUACUUUGGCUUUUUACCCAAUCGUACCGGUUAACGUUGUUAACCCUAAUAACUCACAACCCAAAAUUCCUUUCAUUCGGGGAGGCUCUAAGCACUACAAGACCCAAGGGACCGUCUUCGGGCACCGCGCUCCCCGUGAUGACAAUUCCGGAACGCACCGCUUGAGGGGGAGCUACCACCCUCAAGCCAAGACUUAUCGUGAGUAUCGAUCCAAUUUUCACUUAGGAAAUGUAUAGCCACUAGUCACAAUGCCACUAUCAUAAUAGGUUUCUACCUAUUUGUUCAUGUCAUUUUCUAAGUCAUUCUUAUCACAAUGUCACUAAUUGUUAAACCUUGUUUAACGAUUCAUGUCUCGAUGCCAAUCAUGUCUCUAAUGUCAAUGUCAUCUUUGUUUACUACUAUCAUAGUCCGGGUCUCAUAUUCAUACAAGUAUAGGGUUCCUCAAACAUGUCCCCUAUGGUUCAUAUCAUUCUCUAUGUUCAUCUACGUUAGAAGCAUAUAAAUGAAAUCAAACCAACAUUCACAUGUGUUAUGCCCUAUCAUGCAUGAAUAACUAUUGACAUAUGCUUAAAAAGGUGAUAUAGAUAUAGAAGGGAAUCCAACUAUUCCGGCGUGCACCCCCCACAUGGAAUAAUUGUAGAAGGGUUGUAGUUCGACUCUCGUACUCUACGAACUCCGAUCCCGCGUGCUACGGCUAUGCACAACAAUUUUAGAGCCAAAUUAGGCUUUAUUCUACAAACUCAUAUCUAGUCUUUUCGUUUCCCCGAACGGAGUUGUCCCACGCGUCGGGAAUACCCCUAAUUAGGUUUUCAGGAGGUCAAUUUAUCUCGAGAACAUCCGGAGGCAAAAGUCCCAAAAUUUAUGCCCUAACAAUGUCAUAUAGGUUUUCCUCUUAGAUUAAUCUCAUUCCUAAGCAAAAGCUAGCUUAGAAUCAACUAGGAAGCAUUCUAAUACCAUCACUAAGCCAUUCCAAGCAUCCCUAGGAUAUCUACUUUAAACCCUAGGUGUUCACCAUUAGAGUACAUGAAGCUCCCAUAGGUUUCAUGGUGUUCAUGGCCCUAAAGGGUUUCUAAAGCCUCUAAGAAGCUCAAAACUCUAAAACUUAAGGUUUAAAACUAAACCCUAGAAGUAAUCUUGCAAGAACUCACCUCUAGUCCUAAGCUCUACCAAGUCCUCUUUGUUGGAGAGCUUCUAGAACUACCAAAACCUCCAAAAUCCACCUCCAAUGCCUACCAAGCCUUCUCCUCCUUGCUCUAGGACACAAUCUCUAAAGAGAGAGAGGGAAAUGAAGUGGAGAGGAGAGAAGGGGCUGCUGCUGUGAAGGGAGGUGUUUGGGGAUAUAUAUGGUAUGCUACAAUUGCAACUAACCCCCCCAAAUAUCCCUAUUUACAACAGAUCUUAUUGUUGCUGCCAAACCAAAGUGUACCGGUACACGGGACUCUGUCACCGGUAACACGAUUAUGCAGAGGCAAACCCGAGAGCAGCCUCUUCGGAUUUUAUCAAAGUGUACCGGUACACAUCAGAGGUGUACCGGUACAUUUCUGCGAAAACUCAAACCCGAGAGCAGCUUCCUCUCGGGGUACCGGUUACAACUCGAUGGUUGUACCGGUACACAUGCACCAGAAUGUAGUUUUAGCUUCGAUUCGACUCUACGAUGCUAAAACCUUUCUAAUAUCUCUUAAACUCAUUUUUAACCAUUCCAACAUUGUUGGAAUGCUAAAUGCAACUUGUCCAUCUAUCUUUUUCACAUACUUUAGUCAAUUUGGCUAAAGUUCGAUAAUCAUUCUCGAGAUUUCAAUAUGUUACAAUCAGAUUCUUAACUGCUAAACUAAAAAUUAUAGUGUGUGUUGGGGGGGCCAAUAUGUAAACCCUUUGCAUCCCUUCAUUCAUGCACUCAAAUCUGAGAGAGAGAGAGAGGUGGAAGUCUUCUCUCUUUCUCUCUUUCUUUCUUUCUCUCUAGCUCUCAUCACUCUCUCCCUCUCUUGUAGCUCUCCACCAAAGAGAGGAAGUUGGAGGAGAUUAAGUUGGAGAAGAAGCUUAAUGGUGAAGCAAGCUCUCCAAUGGUGGAUCCAGCUUCUUUCCCAAGGUGGCCAUGGUGAGUUUUGUGAUUCAAGCUAGGGUUUGGAUUAAAUCUCUUGUAAAUGAGAUAUUUAGGAACUCUAGAUGAUUCUAAACUAGAUUGGCUAAAGUUUAAUCAUGAAAUUUGAAGUAUUCUUAUAAAACUUAAACCCUAGACUUAGAAAUUGGGGCUCGUCUCUAAGAGGUUUUGAACUAAAUUGACCUUCUAAAACCUUAAUUGAAGGACAAUUCGACGCGAAGGACAACUUCGUUUUGAAUUGCGACGAGGUUAUGGCGUCCGAUUGAGAGAUUUGCGGAAUUGCGUUCGUUAGGCUUGGGUCGAGGUGAAUCGGCAUUGGAAAUCGAAUUGCGGAAAUCCUAGCAUUCGGUAAUGAAACGAGGUGGGUGGUGCUAUCCGAAAUGGUUGGAUUUCUCCCUAUGUCUGAUUCCUUUUAUUGAGCAUAUAACAUUGUACUUGUGCUACGCCGUGCAAAUACAGGGGAGACUCUGUUCGUAUGAAUAAUGGACUCCCUGUAUUUGUGGCAGAUUUAGCAUACCCUAGGGUCAGGUUUUUCAAAAAAAAAAAAAAAAAUUUGGGCAUUUCCUCGUUGGAUUUAAAAUCCAAAGGGACCUCGGGCCGUGACAUUUCCUAAGUGAAAAUUCGAUGUACUUGUUUUGUUGAGCCUUGGGCAGAUAGGAAAAACUCUGUUCAUUCGGUGAUCUGUGCGCACGCUCGGACCGACCAAAUCGGCGGUCGCGGGGCGUGACACCUAAGGAUGGCAAGGUGAAUAGAUAUGCAUCGGGUUGAAUGUUUGCAGAUUGUGGUGAAUGUAUAUAGUGAGUUGUGUAUAAACGUGUGAAUGUACAUGGUUGGUACGCCAUGCAAAUACAGAAGAGAUUCUGUCUACAUGGACAGAGAAAUUUUGUAUUUGUGGCGGGUCUAUAUGUCUCUGUUAGAUGUAUGCCCUAGAAGCCAACCAGGCCGACACAUGUAUUCUUUUUAGAACAUAAAUUUGUAUUUGACUUUAAAAUAUUAUGAAUAAAUUUGGGUUCUUAUUUUCAUUCAUGUUGUGCAGGUGUCCAUGAAUCGUCCAAGGAAUCAAUAAGAUAAUGAAAUAUAUUUUCAAGAGUUGAGAAUUUGAGACAUGUGUCAUUGGUUGUUAAUUCCUAAAUGCUCCCGAUCAAUGGAUUAUCAUGGGGACGGUGAUUGAUCCGGUGAGAUUGGUGCAUAGGUCGCUUUCUUUUUUGGAGAGACGAGUCUCGAGUCGACAGUGUGGGGACACUGAAGCGAAUAUGCUGGUGGUUGUUAGAGAACGAGGGUACCGAGUGUGACCAACGCAAGAAGUCACUUGGAUGUCUACUCACUCGUAAAUGACUUACUCAAUGUUGCAGUAGUGUGACUGGUCCUUUGACCUACGGUGCCUCGGCUAUUCACAAUGAGGUUACUGUAGUUUGACUGUACAUACACUUGGUCCCUAGCCAUCACUAUUAGAAAAUUACUCAUUAGUGGCAUUUAUUUAUGCUGCUAAAUGAUCAACAAAUGCUGUUAAAAGUUUUAGCAACAUAUGACACCAAAUGUUGUCUAUCCUAAUGUUGCUAAAAGUAUUAGCAGCAUUUAUUAUAAAUGUCGCCAAUGUAAAUCAAUUAGUGUCAUUAGGAACAUGCCACUAAAAGGGAUUAAAUGUUAAUUUUUAAUUGUUUAUUAGUGGCACAUAAAUAUAAUGCCGCUAACGCAAAUAUCCGAUUUUAGAAAUUAAAAUUUUAAAAUUUUAAUUUUAUUGAGAUGCUACUCGCUUCGUUUAUUUCUUUUAGAAAUAAACUUUGCUGAAAAUAUGAAUCAACUAGGAUUCGAACUUGAGACCUCAAGUACCAACCACCAAACCCUUUGCCACUUGCACUAACGAUUAUUAGUUAUGUAUAUUUUAAUUUUUUAAAUUUUAAAUCUUCUUUUUUUAAAUUUUAAAAUUUUAAAUUCUAAAUUUUUAAAUUUAGAUACUAAAUUUAAACUUUUAAUUUUCAAAUAUCAAAUUUUAAGUUUCAAAAUUAAUAGUUUUAAAUUUGAAAUUUUAAAUUUGAAAUGAAUUUAAAAAUUUAAAUUUUAAAAAUUAAAAAUUAAAAAUUUUAGAAUUGAAAAUUUAAAAUAUAAAUUUUAAAAUUUUAAAAUUUAAAUUAUAAGUUUAAUUUUUAAACUUAUAUAUUUCGAAUUUUAAACUUUAAUUUUUAAAUUUUUAAUUCUAAAUAAAAAUAGAUUUAUUAAUAAUUAUAUAUUAAUUAGUAAUGAUAUUUAGUAACAAGUACUGCUAGUUUAUUAUAUUUAGCGGCAUUCACUAAUUUAUGCUGCUAAUUUAUCCUAUUUUGCAAUAUUAAUAGUAAAUUGCUGCUAAAUAAUUAAAUCUAGCGGCAAUUAUCAAGUAAUACUGCUAAAUAUAUUAAUUGGCAUGAUUUAAAUAAAUAUUGCGGAGCAAAUAUUGCGGCAUUUAGCAAUAAGUGCUACUACUUUAUUACAUUUAGUGUCAAUUUUUAUAAAAUACUGGAAACUUCAAUGGCAUUCACUAAUUUAUGCUGCUAAUUUAUUCUAUUUUGCAACAUUAAUAGUAAAUUGCUGCUAAAUUAUUAAAUCUAGCAGCACUUAUCAAGUAAUGCUGUUAAAUAUAUUAAUUAGCAUUAUUUAAAUAAAUUUUGCGGAGUAAAUGCCGCUAAAUUAUGAAUUUGUUUUAGUGCAUUCGGAUCCUUACGAUGCAUGUUGGCUGCAGUAGGUUCAUUGUAGGAAUAGGAUAUGCACUUAUAUCGAAUCUAUCUCUCUUGGUAGAUAGGGGUGUUAGUCCUAUGUGAUUUAUGAGACCGAGUUUAGAAGACCUUGGCCAGGGCAGAGUUAAUAGCGGAAAAUGGUUUCCGAUAUUAGAAACUCGAAUCGAAUAAAUUUGACAUAUGACAGAUGAUAGGGUUUGACGAGUUACUCCAUCACCUCCGUCUAGUCGGGACUCAUGAUAGGGACUCAUGAUAGAAGGACUGUAUCACACGGUAACUACACUAAGAGAUUCAGUAUUCCAUUCUACUAGAAUGCUACUACAUGCUGCUAGGGUGUCACUGGUGGAUUGUGAGACUUAUGAGGAUUAUCUAGAUGAUCGAUAAUUCUUAUUGGACUGAGUUGGAAUUGUUCCGAUCCAGUAGAAAGAGUUUCAGUGAUAUUGUUGAUAGUGAUCAAAAUAUAUCUCACUACCAGAUAGAAUAGAACCUAUGGGGGUCACACACAUAAGAGGUUGUGAUUGAUCGGAUAGCUAGAUUGUAAUUAUUGAAUUGCCGGAAGACCUAACUAUCAAUAUGUUGAUAAUUGGACUAAUUUAUAAUUAUUACAAAUUAGUGGUAUUAAAGUGUAAAUGUUACUAGAGAUAACUUACUAAUAGUUAGUAAAUUAUAAGAGUACUUAUGUGCAAAUAUUGCAUUAUUAAUUUGAUAUGAUCAAAUUAAGAUAAACUUCAAGUCGAAUCAAAUUAGGAUUUGAUCGAUCUAACCAAUUAAGGAAAGUAUAAAUUUAAAUAUAGAUUUGUUCUUAUCCUUAAGGGCACGUUUGGUUCGCACUAUGGAAGAUUAAUAGGAGUAAAAAGAUAUCCGAGAAUCUUAUUCCUAUUCAUCCUAUUACUAAGAAUGUGGCAUUCAUGUGUUUGGUUCGCACGGUCAUAUUAUUUAGUCAAGUUAUUUAAGUUUACAAAAAAUAUACAAUUAAUUUAUUUAUUUCUUUAAUUAAUUUUAGAUAAUGUUACCAAAUAUUUCAACAUCUUUUAAGAAAAAAUGGAUAGAAAAUAUAGGUUAGAGAGAGAGAGCAUAAUUAAAUAAUAGGAAGAGAAAUAGAGUACUCGAGAUUAGAGGGAGUGAGGGAGUUGAAAUUUUAGAAAAAGAGGGGGAGAGAGAGAAAAAGAGUUGAAGUUUAGAGAGAAAAAGAUAAGUUUAGAGAAAAGAUAUGAGGUUAGAGUGUAAAGGAUAAUAAUACUAACUAGCCGGCGGGUAGGGAGAAAGAAAGAGAUUAGACAUAUUAUGAUUACCCAAUUCAUUAAUAUGAGGAUACCCACUCUCCCGUAAGGGAAUGAGAUUAGUACUUUGGGAUGAAUCUCAUUCCCAAGUGAAUCUAAUAUUACCAACUAGAUUACUUAGUGCCUUUAGCCAAACACCGUCGUAUUUUUUUAUUCCAUUGCAUUACUAGGAAUAUUAAAAAGAUAGCGCGAACCAAGCGCACCCUAAUGGUUAUUAUAUUACUAAAAUAGGAUUAUAUAUUCCUCUAUAUAAUAUACGGGAGUUUUUAGAAAACCCUAGCCGUCAUCUCUCUUCUCCUCUGUCUUCCAUCUUCUAGCAAGAAAGAUGUCUUUUUGCAAAGGAGCUAGCACCCCGGUGAGGACAUCGAUCAAAUCAAGAACCUCGUGUGGAUACCUAUAGAGGCCGGACGCGUGUGCGGCUUCAAGAGAACCCAAUUUCAUGAUCAUCAAAUUGAGGUGAAGAUCUAACAGUAGAAAAGCAAAAGAUUCUAUCUUGCUUUUUUUUUUAAUCUUAAAACAUGAGGGAUCCUAAUUGCGUGGUUUCUGAGAUUGGAUCUCGAGAGUUUUCAAAAUCAAAUUUGUUUGAUUUUUUUUUUUGCGGCGUUUUUACCGUACGCAAUUUUCUCACAAUCUCGUGUGCAAGGCUGGUUUCAAAAAAAAAAAAAAUGUGGAUAAUUUUUCGCAAGUCUGAUAUUUCGAACGGCACCUAUUACAUAAAGGUUUUACAAAAAAGGCCCCCGGGCGUGACAACAACCCACCUUAGUUUGUUGCUAAUUGAUAGUAAACUCAAGCAAUAAGGAAUCCAGUUUCACCUCGAAAUAUUUGAAUGCUCCCUAAACACCAUUGUGGCUAUCCAAAUAGUCUCCGUUGCUAUUCUUCACUGGAACUCUGGUAUUUGCGAAAGUUCAGUACAUUACAAAGACCAUGAUAAGGAUGUUGCAGAGUAGCUAGAUUGUGCAAGUCGGUCUAGUGGAUACAUUUUAUAUGAACAAACAAAAUUAUACUAUUUUUAAAAAAUUAAAAUAUUGUAAAACCUUAAGAGAAUAAAAUAUAAUGGGCUUAAAUGUAGUACUAUUACUCUAAUGUUUCAUAUAUCGACAUAAUGUAUGAUUUAUACAGAUUAGUAUAUAUCAUGCACUUCGUGUGAGUAGAAAAAAUUUUGCACGUUCAGCGGAUCUGUUGCAUGUGAGUGAGCAAAUCCAAGUGACAGGACUUGGAGCGUGACACAAACUAUAAGUCAUGUGAUAUUUUGCUUUUAAAGUUUAAUUUAUUUUAUUAUUUGACCUAAGUUUUUUAAAUUACUGCUAACUUAAUUGUAGAGCGUGUUUGGUUCACCUAUUUUUUCAUCCGGAAUCGGAAUCGAAAUAGACGAAUCCGUUUGUUCGUAUUUGGUAUGCGAGAUUUCCAUUUCGAUUCCGAUUCCGGGUGAAUGGGAAUCCCCCCAUUUACCCUUUUUUCCAAUCCGGCUUAUAAGGCCGGAUUGGAUAUUGAAUUCGGGCAAAAUGAAUUUGUUCGAAUUAAAUUUAACUUUUUUAAGUUUAUUUUUUAAUUAAAACAUAAUUUGAAUUAAAAUAUUAUAUUUAUACAUUUAAAUUUAAAUUUGAACCUAAAUUAAAAAUUAAAAUUUAAUCAAGAGUUUUGAAUCUAAUUUAUAAAUUUGAAUUUAAAUUUAAAUUUAAAAUUUUAUUCAAUUUUUAUUUAAAAUUUAAAUUAAAAUUACGGAUUAAAAUUGAAAUUUAAAUUAUAAUUUUAAGUUAGAAUUUGAAUAAAUCAAAAUUUAGUUUUAUAUUUUGAAUUAUCUAUUUAAUUUCAAAUUUUAAUUUUUUUAAAAAAUAUAUUUAAAAUUUGAUAUCAUUUUAAAAUUUUGACAUAAAUUUUUAAAAAUUAUUUGAAUUUAAACUAAUAUAUUAUAAAGAUAAAAUUGACAUAUUAAUUUAACCACGUUUUUGAUAUUUAUCUGAACCAAACACCGACAAUGAGAAUGAUUUAUUCUAAAUCCGAUUCAAACGGCGAACCAAAUAGAAUGAUGUAAUGAAUCAUUCUGACUCCAUGUCACGCCCCGGGGUCCCUUUCGGUUUAAGAGAUAGCGGAAAAGCGUCUGAAAUUUUUUUUUUGAAAAUCCUGACCCCAGAGUAUGUCAGAUCCGCCACAAAUAUAGGAGAUCCACUAUUCACACGGACAGAGUCUCCCCUGUAUUUGCACGGCGUCGCACAAGUACAAGAAUACAACCAGGAUACAACCACAACUAGAUGAAUAUAAAGAUUACUAUACAUUCAUACAUUCACCAUUCACAUCACAGUUUUACAUUCAAUGUUAAAACAGAAAUCCAUGAAAAAUCCUUUUGAAAACUGUUUCCUACACGGAAACCUUUAUUCUUUAAAAACGCUAUCACGAGGGGUAGAAAACCUUUUAUUACAUUCAUGAAAAUCCACAUAUUCAAAUGUAAUAAAAAUAUUGAACCAUAUAAACUAUCUAAGCUAUAUAUCAACAGAAAUAAAAAGGGUAAGAGCUAAACCGAACGACCUGGGUCGGAAGAUCUAUCGACCGCUACGUACGUGUCUCACGUCUUGUCUGAA
This 11915-nucleotide long non-coding RNA is filed under the name Ananas comosus (pineapple). RNAcentral describes it as "long non-coding RNA (ACOM_LNC042191)". The record is from RNAcentral. Lineage: Eukaryota; Viridiplantae; Streptophyta; Magnoliopsida; Poales; Bromeliaceae.